RNAcentral lists this non-coding RNA (48 nucleotides) under Schistosoma mansoni. The record is from RNAcentral. Lineage: Eukaryota; Metazoa; Platyhelminthes; Trematoda; Strigeidida; Schistosomatidae.
AUCCAGCCAACGAGUCCCAAGCAGGAUGAAACGCGCGUCAAACUGGAU